GGAGAGGUACCGAAGCGGUCAUAACGGGGCGGUCUUGAAAACCGUUAGGGCGCAAGCCUACGUGGGUUCGAAUCCCACCUUCUCCG
Molecule: transfer RNA, 86 nt
Filed under: Ezakiella coagulans
Lineage: Bacteria; Bacillati; Bacillota; Tissierellia
Description: Bacteroides coagulans tRNA
Rfam family: tRNA
About the family: Transfer RNA (tRNA) molecules are approximately 80 nucleotides in length. Their secondary structure includes four short double-helical elements and three loops (D, anti-codon, and T loops).
Source: Rfam by way of RNAcentral